GAUGAACGCUGGCGGCGUGCCUAAUACAUGCGAGUCGAGCGAACGGACGAGAAGCUUGCUUCUCUGAUGUUAGCGGCGGACGGGUGAGUAACACGUGGAUAACCUACCUAUAAGACUGGGAUAUCUUCGGGAAACCGGAGCUAAUACCGGAUAAUAUUUUGAACCGCAUGGUUCAAAAGUGAAAGACGGUCUUGCUGUCACUUAUAGAUGGAUCCGCGCUGCAUUAGCUAGUUGGUAAGGUAACGGCUUACCAAGGCAACGAUGCAUAGCCGACCUGAGAGGGUGAUCGGCCACACUGGAACUGAGACACGGUCCAGACUCCUACGGGAGGCAGCAGUAGGGAAUCUUCCGCAAUGGGCGAAAGCCUGACGGAGCAACGCCGCGUGAGUGAUGAAGGUCUUCGGAUCGUAAAACUCUGUUAUUAGGGAAGAACAUAUGUGUAAGUAACUGUGCACAUCUUGACGGUACCUAAUCAGAAAGCCACGGCUAACUACGUG
Molecule: ribosomal RNA, 497 nt
Filed under: uncultured bacterium
Lineage: Bacteria
Description: partial 16S ribosomal RNA
Rfam family: Bacterial small subunit ribosomal RNA
Source: RNAcentral